Molecule: small RNA, 914 nt
Filed under: Pongo abelii (Sumatran orangutan)
Lineage: Eukaryota; Metazoa; Chordata; Mammalia; Primates; Hominidae
Description: processed transcript
Source: RNAcentral
CGGAAGGACUUGAGCGCCCCGGAGCCGGGAGGCGAACUUGGGACCCGCUGGCCUCGCUCGGAUCGACCCGUACGGAUUCGAGCGGCCUGAGGACUUCGACGACGCCGCCUACGAGAAGUUUUUCUCCAGAUACCUGGUCACGCUCACCCGCAGGGCGAUCAAGUGGUCCCGGCUGCUGCAGGGCGGGGGCGUCCCCAGAAGCCGGACAGCAAAUAUCCACCAGGAGCCCUUAGGAAGACCCCUUCCUCUUCCUCCCUGGAAAGACUAAAUUCAACAAACUUAGUCCUGUUGGAUUCCUAUUUCAUUCUCCAUCCGGAGAAGAGAUGUCUGCAGGGAAGCAGCUUCAGGGCCGUUGGCGUCUUUGAGACCUCCUUCCUGGUGGCUUAGAACAUUAACACCACCUAAGUUAAAUUGAGAAAACGUAUUUUCAAAGAUACACCGAAAAAUUGGGGAUUUGCCUAACUUUGUCAGGGUAGACAGAUGGACGUCAGUUCUCUGGAUGUAGCUUCUUUUUACAAAUUUCCCAACUGUUUUGACUUGAUAUUUUAUACUUCUCCAAACAUUAGUGAUGCUCUUGAUAUUUUAUACUUCUCCAAACGUUAGUGAUGCUCUGUGGGUUAGCCCUGCCCUUGGGAAAGUGUCAGUCUGUGAGGACAAGUAAACCAUUUUCUUUCUUCUAUAAAGAAACAGUGUAAAUCCAGAUAACAAACUUAUCAAAAAGUCGCAGAAUUCUUUGUUCUGUGAAGCUUCCGGGUGUUGCUCCAACUGCCAUAGCUGCUCGGGGGCCUCGGGUGCAGGCUCGGUGCCUUCUGUUCACUUUACGAUGAGGAAACCGAGGCACGCUCAGGGUCUGGAGCCUGCAAGUCAUAGUGGAGCAGAGUGUCUGACUCCAGAGCUGGUGCGUUUAGCCAUUU